Molecule: long non-coding RNA, 621 nt
Filed under: Hordeum vulgare
Lineage: Eukaryota; Viridiplantae; Streptophyta; Magnoliopsida; Poales; Poaceae
Description: long non-coding RNA (HVUL_LNC019901)
Source: RNAcentral
UCCUCUGCCCGUGCUGCUGAUUCUCCUCUUCCGCUGAUCCAAGUGACUGUGCUGUGCUGCUGCUGAUUAGAACAAUUUUGCUCCUCUGCACUCUGAAGAAGGUACUCCGUCAGAGUAUUGUACCUGAAAAUUAAUGAAGUUGAUUUAGUGUUAACUGAAUCAUGACAUUGCCAAUAAAGGAGUAAAUUCAAUUGAUAACUUAAAAUUCAUGGAGUACAUUCAUUUUAAUACAAAAACUGUUGCUGAUCAUUGUGAAAAAAAAUCAUGGAUUGCUGUUAACUGAAAAUUAGUGAAAGAAACUGUUGCUGAUCAUGGAUUACUGUUAAUUAAAAACCGAUGCUUGUUCACACAUAAAAGAAGCUUCACCUUCUAGGCCCUCCACUUUGUCAGAUUGCAGUGAUACAGAGGCUGCUACCUGGUUUAAACAAGGUAAAGAUCAGAUAUUGAUGAUUCCUCAUGUAAGGCAAGAUACAAGAAACUAGCUGAAUUUAAAAUUACACCAUCAUCAUUACAGAAAGGAGAAUAGAUUAUCACAUUAUCAGUUCAUAUACAACCAGUUGCUGGAAGAACUGUAGAAAAGAGACCACUAAAUCUAAUGAUAAAAUCAGGUGCUCUAUAAAC